RNAcentral lists this long non-coding RNA (790 nucleotides) under Marmota monax (woodchuck). The stretch from base 249 to 317 matches the Rfam family "tRNA". The record is from RNAcentral. Lineage: Eukaryota; Metazoa; Chordata; Mammalia; Rodentia; Sciuridae.
CUUCUGUAAAGAAACAACUCAGAUGUUAAUUGAGAAUAAUUUAAUUGUCGUAUCAUUUGUUACAUAUGCUGCACUUAGCCAAAUAAUCACUUAACAAUUCAGAAACUUCUUUGUUUUUCACAAAUGAUUUUAAAAAAAUGUUCAUGGUGAAGCAGCCUAGCCUUGAAAUGAAAAGUUAGUAUACAUACAGAAGAUUGCCUGUCAUACACCAAGCAAAUCAGUUAAAAAAAAGCAGUAGAAACUGGACUGGAUUUGUGGCUCAGUGGUAGAGCUCUUGCCUAGCAUGCAUGAGUCACUGGGUUUGAUCCUUAGCACCACAUAAAAAAAAAAAAAAACUAGAUAAACAAAGGUAUUGUGUCCAUCUACAACUAAAAACAUUAAAAAAAAAAGCAGUAGAAACUGAUGCAUGUCUCAGAAUUGACUAUAUAGACAUUCUCAAAUUUAAGAGAGGGUAAUGUGUCUAAUUCAUGUGCAUGUAAGGACCAUUGCUGCGGUGCAAAACAUCCAUUUAUUGACUCCAACAUAAAGAGCCAUUUUUUUUUUCUAUUGGUGUAAUUUACUUGAAGAUAAAUUAGAAAACUUAGUUGAAUCAUGUAAACAAUACGAAGAAAAUGCUGGUAUAUGCUUCAGAAUUGUAGUGUCAAUCUUUUUCAUUUUUUUGGCACUGGGGAUUAAACCCAGAGGCAUUUUACCACUUACCACAUCCCCUGUUAAUUUUCUAUUUUGAGACAGGGUCUUGCUAAGUUGCUUAGAGCCUUGCUAAGUUGCCCAGUCUGGUUUUGAACUUGCC